Molecule: RNA transcript, 5098 nt
Organism: Pecten maximus
Lineage: Eukaryota; Metazoa; Mollusca; Bivalvia; Pectinida; Pectinidae
Exons: 7
Source: RefSeq, a predicted model, not a curated record
CUGGGUACACAUAGUACAGACACAACAUAUAGGCAUGGCAUAUAGUUAGCGUUAAGCUUAACCCUGUCAGCUUAACCUAUCAGUACAUAUACGAUAACAUCCCCCGCUACACCUGUUCGCCGUGUUUAUGGCGCAAGAUAAAUUUGUGGAAGAAGCCCAGACAUCGGAUUGGGCUUCACAUGACGGGCACAUGAUCGCCAGAUGUUGAUAUGGGUCAACCUGAAUAGACAACGGGUCUUCCGUGAUGCACUGUCAGGGCCGACCAGAGGUUGAGGUCAACUGCCAGGAAGACAAGUAUAGGGCCAUUUAAUGGUUCAGAAGGAGAAGUGGUUGCUAUCCACUGCACAUAUCCUCGCCAGUAGAGGACCAUUAUUGUGAUCCGUUUGCCGGAUGCUGCGGAUGCUGUUUAUUGUUUUUUUCUUGUUCUGUUUCACCGUGAAACAUGGAAUGAUUUGCGUGAUUGACAUUACCGAGGUGAACUGAUCGUGACACCAAUCGUCACAAGCACUUGGAAAAGUGAACGACAUUCCUGUCGUGUGGAGAGACUGUAGACUCAGUAAUAUAUGAAUAAAUGUAGUAUAGUAGAGAGGGUGGUUGGGAGAGUGAAUGAGUUGGUAUUUUUUUGUGAUUCUAUGUAAAUAAAUUUGUAUAUAUGAAAUUGAUGUUAGAUUCCUUGUGUUGAUUUCUGGAAUAACCAAGCUGAGGCUCGUCCCGCGUUACACAGGAUACACGGGUAUAUAAUUAUCGUCAGUUCAGGAAACACGAUUACAGGAUACACGGGUAUAUAAUUGUCGUUAGUUCACGAAACACGAGUACAGGAUAUACGAGCAUAUAAUUGUCGUUAGUUCACGAAACACGAGAACAUGAUACACGUGUAUAUAAUUGUCAUUUGACAUUAGUUCACGAAACACGAGUACAGGAUACAUGUCUACGAUCAUUUUCUGGAUGGAUAUCCCGUGUUUUGAUCUUUAUCAAAUCUAGUUUUGUUUUUGUAUUUUUUUUUAGAUAUGACCAGGGACGUACAUACAUGUACAUAUUUAUGUAGUAUACAUUUUGUAUGUCUCUGCUAUGACGCCGAUUGAAACGAUCUAAAUAAAAUCCAUGAUUUAUUUGAAAACAUGUUUAAGAUUCUACACCAAUGUUUUCUGUAGAGAGGGAAUAUGAGGACGGAUGUGAUGAACUUUAGAAAUAACAGAGUGUUAUGAAAAGCAAAUAGUGUAAACUUCUGUUAUCGGCGUCGGAAUGGUUUAUUUAAAUUGUUUAUUUAGUUGAUAAUCUAUAAUCAUCAAUGAAUAUUUAUCUAUAUCAUUAUUUAUAUUCAUUUAAAUAAACAUCCCCCGUCUCUCUCUCUCUCUCUCUCUCUCUCUCUCUCUCUCUCUCUCUCUCUCUCUCUCUCUCUCUCUCUCUCUCAAAAAUAAGUCAAUAUAUGUCAUCUUGUAUGAAUGUAUGUAUGUUGUAAAAUUGUAUUGGGAAAAGGCUAAUUGAUAUAAGUUUAAUAACUUAAGUGUGCCCAAUUCCGUUGUAUAUACUAAAUCUUGGUUUCAUGCCCAAUACACGUGUUUCUGUGGUGUAGUCGUUGUGACGGAUGGAUCGCUGUAGUUUUUACAAAGAAACCACGUGAUUUCAAGUUUUCAACCGAACGUUAUAUAGCGACACGUGGUAUACACGUCUCUGGUGCUUGCAUGAAAAAGUAAUCAAUUUGGUUAAAUGAUUCUGAAAUUUUGACGGAUCGAUUUAAAAUUUGUGAACGAGAUACUUUAAAAGUGCACAAUGUUAUCGUUAGAAAGUAUUGUACCUUUUAAACAAGAUGAACUCAACAAAGCAUGCACACAGUGAACGCUGCAAUGUGGUCAAGAUCGUUGAAGAGUUUUGAAGACUAAAACGAGAACCUGUACAUACUGUAAAGGAUGGAUUCCAACCUACGAGUAAAGUAGGGGUAGUAAUUACGACAAUUCAAACUUUAGAGCAAAAGUUAGACAGUUCAACAAUGUGUUUAUUGAAAACUAUCUGAUCAGCUGAACGAAAUGUAAUAUCAAAUUCAUUCUAUAUAACUUAUACGGUAAGUUUGUAGUAUAAAUUCAUAAUCAUAAUAGAGAAUUUGUAUUAACUGUAUUUCUAUUUUUGAUAAUUGUUGAAUAUAAAUAUAUAUAUAGUGAGGUCCUCCGUUGUGCUUUUUGCAAUGAGAGGCCGUAUUCUAUCUUUAAAGUAAAGUAAGUUCUGGUAAUUUUAAAUGGUUUUAUUUAUUAUAUUUAGUAAAAUGGAUAACGUUUACUUGAAGCAGGUUAUUUAUUUUUGGCUGUCUUUUCCUUAACAGAAAGUGUGCUCGAGGAACCCCUGUCCAAGGGAUAGGGGUUUUUUCCUGGAGAAUAAACUCUUGAACUCAACCUGGUCUUUUGGGAGUUUUACUAACCCUCUGUGGCAGGCUUGAGCACCCUGUUACAUUUUGGCGCCCAACGUAAAAAACUUAAGGAGGAGUCAGCAGUGACGAUUGUCUGAGGUAUGAACCGGACUAUAGCAAGUCUACGAACUGUAGGAGCGAUAUCCGGUGAUGACGUCAAGGUGACCUUGACAGAUAUAAUAUAGAAUACGUGCCACUAUUAUAACUCGACCUUGACCUACGUUACCCGCUUCCGGUGAAGAACGUGAUUUUUUCUGUGUCGUGUUUAUAAACAUUUUUCUGCGAUGGUGUUCCUUGCUAAAUACUCAUCUGUGUUUAUUUCAUGGACCAUAGCAGUGGAUCGGGAACAAUUGACAAUACAGAAACCAGUCUCUUGAUUACUGUUGAACCAGAUGUGAUUUCUGAACCUACAGAUCUCAGCCGAAGGAUGACAUAUUGGCAGAUAAAAUCAGUCAUACUGCACUCUCAGAUCAAGGGGAAUAAAUCUGUAUUAAUUGAGAUCAUGGACCCCAUGUAAGUCAACAACUUCUGACCUGAUAUUGGAUGAUAGCCACAGACUUGACACAAAUGCAGCAAAAACAGCUCAGCAUGUGAGCACAACUGGAGGAGUACAAAUGUAAAACACCUGGAACUUGUUCAUAGACUUCUACAGAUUGAGUGUAGGAUAGAGCUUAUGAUAUAUAUUCUUGAACGACCUGACCAAGGACCAGCUUGGAGAAUUCCAGCUCAUGGACACGAAAUAGUUUCCUAAAACAGAACAUUAAUUGUACCACAGUUGCAGUAACAGGCUGAGGACGCCUCCGCUCCCCAAAGACCGGGUUCACCAAGAACAACACAAACAAUACUUGAACACAGCAAACUUCCUAAAACAGACCAACAUUCUACCACAGCUGCUGUCUGUCACAGGUCAUGGCUGAAGACAUCUGCCCAAAGACUGGGUUCACUUAAUUAGGAAUAACACAAACAAUACUUGGAUAACACCCCUUCAGGCAUAUGUAGUAUGAAGAUAAGAACAUUGUGACUUAGAGCUAGUCCGAAUUAUGGCCUCUACAACAAACAGAGGUUUACUGGUGUCACUCUGUCAUACACAAAAUCUUGUCUAGACUCAUAACUAUUUAGCAUUGUUCAGGUUCAACCAAAGUCUGUAUACAAAUGUAUGACUGUCUUAAUUGCGACAUAUGCAUUAUUUUAAUGGGCAAUUUUACUGUACACUGCUACCUUAUCAAUGUAUAUUUUGAUGCUUGAUUAUAAGUUUGAAUUACAUUCUUUAUUACUCAAAAAUAUCAAAUUUGUCAAACAACUAUCUUGUCAUUAUUGGAUGAUCAAAGGGAGAUAACUCACUUAUCUGUUUCAUAUUUUCAAGGUGGGUUUAUAAUCAUAAUAUUCAGUGAAUUAGUGUUAUUUAAAUAAUUAUUAGAUGUUAUAUAACAAACUCAAAAUGACUGAUUGGAUUUCUCACAAUCCAUAUAGACUGAAUCUUGGUUUGUUUUACCCAGUUUUCUACCAUAGCUGAAUACAUGGAUACUAAUUGAAAGAAAUUUUAUUUUUUGAAAUCGUUGGUAAAACCACUACAUGCAUAUUUUUAAUUUAUUUUCACAAUGAUAUGUGUGUAUUUCAUAUAAAACUGAGUGAAUGGCCAGGAUGUUAUUGUAAAUUAUUGUCAUUUUCUUAAGUACAACAGGAAAAACAGACUUUUUAAAAUGAAAUACAUUGUAUAAAAAGACAAUAUGAUAAGCAGAAGUUGUUUCUGUUUACAUCUGACAAAGACAAUAUGAUAAGCGGAAGUUGUCGCUGGCAACAUCUGACAAAGACAAUAUGAUAAGCGGAAGUUGUCGCUGGCAACAUCUGACAAAGAUAAUCUGGUAAGCAGAAUUUGUCUCUGGUUACAUCUGACAAGGCAAUCUGGUAAGCGGAAGUUGUUUCUUGUAACAUGUAACAGAGAAAAUAUGGUAACGAGGAAUAGUUUUUAUAUCUUAGAAUUUCUUGUAUUUUCAGGCUACUGUGUCCAGUCUACAUAUGUUUGCAUCUUCAAGAGGAGCCUGAACGACAAUAUGGCAAAAAGCUAGCAAGUCCAACAGUCAAAGACAAAAUGAAGUGAACUGAAAAGAUACUAAUCAUUAUAAGGACUGAUAUAUAAAAACUGAAAAAAAAGAAGAAAAAGAAGUAGCUGACUUGUCAAAUUAAUGUUGAUGAUAUAGAAAUAAAAUAAUGUGUCUUGAAGACUUGGAAGUGCGUGUGAAUAUAUCAAUGAAACAUUUAAUUCUGUGACCAUCAUAUUCAUUUGAUUAUGUUAGCAAAAGUUUUGACCAUUUGUUUAUCAAUUUUUUAAAUUUUUGUAUAGAGUUCAGAAAACUUCUACUACAAUCUGAAAAUCUUUGAAACUGAGGUUUAAUAAUUAAUAACUUUGGGUACAUAUAAUUAUAUGAAGCUGUGUUGCCUUGAAAAGAAUCAUGAUUCAGCUAUUUUUGCAGUUUCUUUCAGUAUUUGAUUCUUGUUGAUCUAGUCUGUAGAUCUAGACCUUCUUUUUUGAUCUUUCUAAUUUUCUAUCAAACUUUGUACACUUUAUUAUGACAUGUAAUUGCACAUUUUAUUGGCAUAUUAAUUGAGAUGUGAAUGGAAGUGUAAUCAUUUUCAUGGUUUUUGCUUUUAAGCAUACAACAAGUGUGUGUUUGAUUCAUAAUAAAUCAUUUUCAAUUGAAA